This 2135-nucleotide long non-coding RNA is filed under the name Homo sapiens (human). RNAcentral's name for it is "PACRG antisense RNA 1 (PACRG-AS1)". Lineage: Eukaryota; Metazoa; Chordata; Mammalia; Primates; Hominidae. The record is from RNAcentral.
GGCUGUAGGUUGUUUUCACGAACCCACAGAGACAGAAACCUGCGGCAAUGGAGAAAAUGCUAAUACAGACAUCUUACUUCAGUGUCUGGCAAACAAGAUUAUACACUGAGGACGAUGUAGACGUCAGCUUCCCUGACGAGGGAAGCUGCAGCUUUCUGAUGAUUCCUGAAGCCUACAUUCUAUUAAUUUCCCCGAAGAGCCCUAUUGCCUAAUGGAACAUUGUGAGAAUGGCCAGUCUGGAAAGCAGGAUCAGUGGAGCUGGCUUCUGGCUCACUGGCUUUCAGCUGAGCCUUCCAAAUGGCUGGGAAUGAACAUCCAGUUAGAAGCCUCGGUUUGGAACAGUGGUUCUCAGACUUCAUGGUGUGUGACAGUCACUGGGGAACUUGUCCAAACACAGAUUGACAGACCCCAUCCCAAAGUUUCUGAUUCAGCGGCUCUAGGGAGGGCCCUAAGAACACGAGCUCCUCUUCCCAAGCUCCCAGGUGACGCUGAGGUUGCUGCCCCGGGAGCCCACUUUGAGAACUGCUGAUCUAGGGUGUGCUGGGGUAACUCUGGCUGUCAGAGGGGUCAGGACACUUGGUCUCCUUCUCUUUGGUCUCACUGAGAAUGUGAAUGUGAAUGGCCUUUUGAGGCCACUUGCACUGAGUCCUCUACAGGGCACACUGGACGGCGGGGGAGCGUCUGGAAGGGGUCUGCACACCGGCUUGCAGCCUCAGUGAUGCUCAUCUAGUGCGGGUCCUGCGUGGUCCCCAGAGGAACCCAGUGAGAAAUCCGGAGGAGACGGACAGAGAGGAGGAUGACUUCCUUUUGUAUUACAACGUCAUGAUUACAAAUAAUCAUAAUAGAGUGCCCAUUUUAAAGUGGCCUUUCCCUCCAAGCACACAGGAGACUCCCUCAGAUUCCCUAGGAAACCAAAGAAAUACUGAAUCUACUCCACAAAAGGUACUUGGUUGGCUGCUUCCCCAGGAACAUCCCUCCAUCCUCACGGGUAUCCCGCCAUGGACCUCGGGGAGCCCUGGACAAACAUGCAUGUGUGCGACGCUUGUAACAAACCUGCAAGGUUACCAAGGGCUUCAACGACAUUUAUUCUCCCAGCAAGCAAGUCAUGAGUGUGUCCUGCCUUAUCUAUGGUGGAAGGAAAGUACACAGAACUAGGACGCACGUGUCUAUCCCGGUCUCUGGUCUCUUGUCCAGCGAUAGCAUCCUCCGGGCUGCGUGAACUCAGCUUGGGGCUGUGAAGGGACAGCCGUAUAUCUUGUCACCGAGGGCCACCGCAAUGGGGAGCUGCACCUGACACAUUUACAUUUCACAAAGAUAUCUGCCACUCCGUGGACACGGACCAGCAAGAGGCUUGGAUGACCUAGGAUUCUGAUGAUGUAUUCUCCAUUUCAAUUCUAGACUGUGUGCAAACUUCAUUCUUUCUUCUACGUUCUUUAGUUAUGACUAUUACAGGAGAAAGGAAAAAAUCGAAGGUGAAGGAAGCAAAGACAGAAAGGAAGGACGGUUUGGUGGCCAGAGCGAGGUCUUCCCACGUCACUCCCGGGACGUGUGCUGACGCGUUGCUCCUCCGUCCUGCAGAACGCCGUGGGUCGUGGCAGCAGCUGCAGCUGUUUCACAGGCUGUCCUCCCUGUAGACUAAGCAUCUACUCCGCGCUAUAGGGCAAUGCGAGACAAAAAAGACCCCCGGGAGCUUGCCAUCCAGCUGAGGAAGCCUAAUUAGCCACGCUUCCUGUAGCAUACAGUGGUCACUUUCUCCUCCAUGGAAGUAUGUCUGGGCCCACGCACCCCACUGCUUCCAGAGCCUCCACGCGCUGUGUGUCCCCCGUGGCGCUUUGCUUGCCACCGAGCCCUGCGUCUUGAGAACUCUGAACGGUUUGUUGUAGUCAAGACACUCGGAGAUCCUAGAGACGCGAAAAGCAGGAGGGGAACGUGUGACGGCCACUGCGAGGCUCAGGGAGAAUUUAAUUCAAAUUUGGAUUUUUCUCACUCUUACGCUUUGGGGCAAUACUGUUAAAUGGUAAAUAUAUAGCCAUUGUAUGAACAGCAAUACACAAAGGAGUUAUUUGGAAAUGAAAGCCUUAUUGAAGGCACUGGAAAAAUUAAACAAAUAAAUGUUUCCUUUAGAUUGCUCAUUC